This is a long non-coding RNA of Eriocheir sinensis (Chinese mitten crab), 1234 nucleotides long. RefSeq lists it as uncharacterized. The transcript has 6 exons. Lineage: Eukaryota; Metazoa; Arthropoda; Malacostraca; Decapoda; Varunidae. The record is from RefSeq and is a predicted model, not a curated record.
AGUUGCUCCUUGGAAGUGGUGGCGGUGGACGUGGUGGAGAACGUGGUGGGAGUGGACUAUGUGGAUGAGAGACGCUUGGUGGGGUGAUCCAGGCCGCCAAAUGUGAGCAGCAGCUUCGGCAAUAGUGGUAACCUAUGCACACAGACCCGCGCAGCCUUGCCACACCACCAACAGCAAUACUAACGACAGCAAAGAUAGGAUGGAAGGUACACGGACCCACACAGCCUUACAAAAACCAAUACCAGCAAGAAUAACAACCCCGAUAACAAGAUCAGGAAAGAACACUGUCAAGCGCAGCAAUAAGAAAACGUCUACAUUAUCAAAAGGUUGCUGGAGGUGACGAACGCGGGGCUCCCCAAAUGUUCCUCGUGCAGGUGUGUUACUAGCCCCAUCAAGCCCAGGUGACCCGGAACGCUGCGGCGACCCUCACAAAAGGUUCGAGGAAGAGGAGGAGAGAGAGGGGCAGGGUGUGGCGUGACGGUGUGGGGCAGAGGAGGUGCAUGCGUGGAGGCGGGGCGGAUCGAGGGAAAGGAUAAAACUCAUCAUGUGCCUGGUCAGCGGUGGAUUGACGGGUGUUUCUAUCUUUUCCUCCUUCCUUACUCCAUUCUUUAUACCUUCCUCGCCUCGUAUCUCCCUCCUUAUCUGCCUCUUUUAUGUCCUUCACUUUUUAUUCUUGUCAUUAAUCCCCUGCAUCUACUCUCCCCUAUAUUUUUCCUCUUCCCUUUUAUCUCCCUUUCCCCCAUCUAAUUCUUGCUUUCAACACAUUACGCCUUGCCUCACUCCCUAUAAGCAUGUUUUUUUCCCCACUACACCUGCUCCUCUGUACUUCAUUUUCCUUUACGUGGCUUAUCCUUCUUUUCUCCCCUUUAUCCAGGCUCACUUCUCCCUAGCUUCACUUCCUGCUCACUCGCUUAUUCUGAUCUUCACUUUAUCAUCCUUAAUUUACCGCCCCCAAUGCGCUGCUGCCUGGCAUCGCUGGACUACCUAUCCCUCGCACCGCUGGCUCGAGUAAUUGAAAGACCACCGGUAAACUACGGAGGCCAGCUGCUCAUCCAGAGACGAGUUAGGAGUCAACAAGCUCGGACCGCCACCUACUGCUUGUCUCACCUCAUCACAUCCAUGAUUUGCGGUGUUCGUCCUGCCAGCUGUUUCGACCCUCCAGGAGGAAGUCCCAAUCAGUUGUCGGACACACACCAGGACCCCCUGUUGUGGAUAAAAAUGAAUUUAUGUACUU